This is a long non-coding RNA of Empidonax traillii (willow flycatcher), 118 nucleotides long. RefSeq lists it as uncharacterized. The record is from RefSeq and is a predicted model, not a curated record. The transcript is spliced from 3 exons. Lineage: Eukaryota; Metazoa; Chordata; Aves; Passeriformes; Tyrannidae.
GAUGUCUGCAGAUGGGUUUGGGAUGUGUCCAGGUGGGGUUGGGAUGUCUCCAGACAGGGAGACUCCACACCCUCCCUGGGCAGCUGUUCCAGGCUCUGCCACCUCCAUGGACAGAAGU